GACGAACGCUGGCGGCGUGCCUAAUUCAUGCAAGUAGAACGCUGAAGCGAGGAGCUUGCUCUUCUUGGAUGAGUUGCGAACGGGUGAGUAACGCGUAGGUAACCUGCCUUGUAGCGGGGGAUAACUAUUGGAAACGAUAGCUAAUACCGCAUAACAAUGGAUGACACAUGUCAUUUAUUUGAAAGGGGCAAUUGCUCCACUACAAGAUGGACCUGCGUUGUAUUAGCUAGUAGGUGAGGUAACGGCUCACCUAGGCGACGAUACAGAGCCGACCGUGGAGGGGGAUCGGCCAAACUGGGACUGGGACACGGCCCAGACUCCUACGGGAGGCAGCAGGAGGGAAUCUUCGGCAAUGGGGGCAACCCUGACCGAGCAACGCCGCGGGAGUGAAGAAGGUUCUCGGAUCGUAAAGCUCUGUUGUAAGUCAAGAACGAGUGUGAGAGUGGAAAGUUCACACUGUGACGGUAGCUUACCAGAAAGGGACGGCUAACUACGUG
This 497-nucleotide ribosomal RNA is filed under the name uncultured bacterium. Its description in RNAcentral is "partial 16S ribosomal RNA". It matches the Rfam family "Bacterial small subunit ribosomal RNA", at positions 28 to 507 of the family's 1533-position model. The record is from RNAcentral.